AACUGUCUUUGUACCUCAACAAUUUUUUGUUUGAACAGCCGAGUCUUUCUUCCUAUUGCUACUUUCUUUUCCUGGGCUCGUGCUGUAGACAGAGCUUUCACAGCAACGCCAAGGAAAUUGAAUUUAUCAAGGUAAACAUCCGUCCUGGUGUUUUUUAUAGAAAUUUAGAUCCGGUUUUUUCUUGAUAAGUCGCGUCUGAUAUACCCUGUUUUUCGCCAUUCAACCAUUCUGACUACACAUUUCGUAGGGAUAUUCGGAAGAAUGGGUCUGACAAAAGGUGGAAUUUAUUUAAUCAGUAGCAGGAUUGAUGGCAAUAUCGAAGUUAAUAUGAAAGGGUAAAUGCCUUGGGCAACAUGAAAGGGAAAUUUAGGACGUAAGUUUAUGAGAUCAAUCCCCACAUUAAACUGAGAGGCGCAGUUCUUAAUCUGGUGUAUUCAGUGAGGGACGGCCGGGGAAGUUCCGUUUUUGGCUGCACUGCCAAAGGUUUGCCCACUAUUGACGUUGCGUUAGGAUGGCUCAUUGAUCUCGCUGCCAAAUCAGGUAUCACUAGCGUCAUGUUGAGAGGACCUUUGCCGCUCGUUUCUUCCUUUCUCGAGUUCGUUAAUAACUAUCACCAUGUUUUUUGUUCUGAAUUACAUAUGCGUUUUGUUUGUCCCUGGAUUUCUUUCGUUCCUUGGGGACACUUUGUGUCUAAUACUACACGCCUGGCUUUUGCACUAUCGCUGAAGAAGCUGUCCCGGUUGCGGGUUAUUUACCUUUUUUGCAGAAUGUUUUACGUUUGACUUCUGAUCUUGAAUUUGCCAGUUGUAAUCAUGAUUUAAAGACUCGCCCUUUUUUGGUCAAGACACAAACUUUACUAGAAUUUAACCUGUCAUAUUAAUGCCAAGGCCUUUGCGAAGGAGAGAAGGCUUUUCGACGUCAAUCAUUUUAGCUGUUGGGCAUCCGUAGUUGGUUGAUGUCCAUUGAUGAUCGUGGUGACCGAUGUUUUUGGUUCUAAAACCUAGCCCGUGGGCAAUUUUCCCUUGAGUUCCUAUCUGAACUGCCUGGCUUAUACUAGUAAAAGCCAUGAAGUUGAUGCAUAACCAUACAUGGAAAUAAUCUAACAAUUAAAUAACUAAUUUUAAUUAGGAGCAUUUUUCUUAGUGGUCUUCCUGGCCGCCGAGUUUGACCAAGCAUUUAGUGGUUUGCAGAAGGUCUGGACGGCUAAUGGGGUGCGAGUCUUAUUUUUGCUUCCUUAUUAUUCAUACAUUUUAAUUGAUAUCCGGACUGCAUCUCUAUCGGUAACUGAAAAUUUGGCCCAGAUCUCAUUCGGGCCGGUCCUUGGAUAGACAGUUCCAGGUGAAGCCGGGUUAACGAUUGCUGGCACUAACCCCACACCCCCCACCCCCACCCCCCCCCCC
RNAcentral lists this long non-coding RNA (1400 nucleotides) under Spirodela polyrhiza (greater duckweed). RNAcentral describes it as "long non-coding RNA (SPOL_LNC001301)". Lineage: Eukaryota; Viridiplantae; Streptophyta; Magnoliopsida; Alismatales; Araceae. The record is from RNAcentral.